Molecule: ribosomal RNA, 498 nt
Filed under: uncultured bacterium
Lineage: Bacteria
Description: partial 16S ribosomal RNA
Rfam family: Bacterial small subunit ribosomal RNA
Source: RNAcentral
AUUGAACGCUGGCGGCAUGCCUUACACAUGCAAGUCGAACGGUAACAGGUCUUCGGAUGCUGACGAGUGGCGAACGGGUGAGUAAUACAUCGGAACGUGCCUAGUAGUGGGGGAUAACUACUCGAAAGAGUGGCUAAUACCGCAUGAGAUCUACGGAUGAAAGCAGGGGAUCGCAAGACCUUGUGCUACUAGAGCGGCCGAUGGCAGAUUAGGUAGUUGGUGGGAUAAAAGCUUACCAAGCCGACGAUCUGUAGCUGGUCUGAGAGGACGGUCAGCCACACUGGGACUGAGACGCGGCACAGACUCCUACGGGAGGCAGCAGUGGGGAUUUUUGGACAAUGGGCGAAAGCCUGAUCCAGCAAUGCCGCGUGCAGGAUGAAGGCCUUCGGGUUGUAAACUGCUUUUGUACGGAACGAAAAGCCCCGGGUUAAUACCCUGGGGUCAUGACGGUACCGUAAGAAUAAGCACCGGCUAACUACGUGCCAGCCGCCGCCGUAA